UCGGUGAGGUUUGUUAAAGAGUCGUGUUUGUUAAAGAGUCGUGUUUGUUAAAGAGUCGUGCUCGGGGGUCAGAGGGAGGGUCACCUGUGGUCAGCAGGUUCACGCACAUCUGCUCUAUCACACGAGUUUACCUGACAGGUACAAUCAGACGGCCGAUUAGUGCGAGAACAGCUUUAAUGUGUGUGUGUGUGUGUUUAUGUCUCUCUGUUUGUGUUUAUCUGUGUGUGUUUGUUUUGUGUCUUUUCCCUCCACUCUGUCCUUUAACGUGUCUGUCUGUUGCGUGUCUGUGUCUCCGAGUGUGUGUGUUUGUGUGUGUGUGUGCGGACCCGCUGGGUGACAUUUUCCAUUCCAGGUGUGACAUCUCGAUUCCCUGACAGCCUCUUCUCCUCUGACACACACUAAACAACUCCUCUGAUUUUACCUGCCUCCUACACACACACACGCACACACACACACACACACACACACACACACCUCGCCGACCACCUCUGUCUCAGCUCUGCCGCUCGACAAGCUAAUUUAGCCAAUUACACACAGGUGCGAUGCUAAUUUCCCCGAGCUGGCAGCCAGCUCCUGGAGGAGGUAAAAAUAACGAAAUUACACCCAUCUGUCCUCCUGCCGGCAGGCGGGCUCUCCCACUGGGUGUCUGCUCCACCGCCACCACAAAACACACACCAGAGAGAGAGAAAAACACACACUGGCUUUGAUAAUGGAGGGGAAGACAAUGGACAGUGUGUACGAGUGUGUGUGUCGGUGUGUGUGUCAGUGUGUGUUUGUGUGUGCAGGAAUCCAGGCGGCAGCCACAGUUGCUUUUUCUCCUCUUUGUUUGCAGCUUUCAAUAGAUUUUCAGAGAUACACAGCAAUUUCCUGCCACAAAAGAAGCAGCAGACUUUUGGUGCGGAGGGAUGAUUAUGUGAAGCUGUUUUCCGAGGCGACAGGGUUCAGUGUGUUCACAGAGAGGAGGAGGAGGAUUUCUGCGACACAAAACAAACCCUGGUCGGAGGAGACGGAGGCCUUCAGAGUGACGGGAGAGCUCCAGGAGUGUCAUCCCAAAAAAAAAAAAAAAAAAACAAGCAGCAGUGAUUCUCCUGCAGACGAGCAUUCAUGCAGCAUCAAAAGUUCAUUCUGGAGGCACAAAAACCGCCUCUGAAGGUGAUCACGGCAUCCAACCAAAAACUCUGCAGGUGCUCCGCUCAUGCAGACGACGCUCUCUCUCUCUCUCUCUCUCUCUCUCUCUGUUUUUUUUUCAUCCUGGUUUUCCUGCCCGGAUUUAGACGUGCAGAAACUCCAACUGUACAUGUGUGCAGAACCAGAACCAGAACCAGAGACUGCAUCUUCAGGACCCUUGUGUAAAACACUAAACUGAAAAUCUGAGAUCUUUAAGUUUGUGAUCUUUUUAACUCUUUAUCUUUUAGUAUCUUAUAUUUGAUAUUUUACUAUUUUGUGUUGCAUAUAGUGUACAUACAUGUAUAUUAUUUCUUUGUUUGUUUUAUCUCCUCUUUCUACUUUAUUUGCACUGAAGUUACUGAACACAACAUAGUGAAAUAUUAAAUGUCAGAUCGGAAAAAGGUAGAUCACCUUCUCCAGGUCGGAGGGGAGGUCCUGCCUCAAGUGGAGGAGUUCAAGUUUCUCAGGAUCUUGUUCACGAGUGAGGGUAGGAUGAAGCAGGAGAUUGACAGGCGGAUCGAAGCGGCGUCAGCAGUGAUGUGGACGCUUAAGCGAUCAGUGGUGGUGAAGAAAGAGCUGAGCCGUAAGGAGAGACUCUGGAUUUACCGGUCGAUCUACGUGCCGAUCCUCACCUAUGGUCAUGAACUUUGGGUAAUGACCGAAAGAACAAGAUCGCAGAUACAAGCGGCUGAAAUGGGUUUCCUCCUCAGGGUGUCCGGGCUCAGCCUUAGAGAUAGGGUAAGGAGCUCGGACACUCGGGAGGAGCUCAGAGGAGAACCGCUGCUCCUCCACGUCCAGACGAUGACAACGUUUGAUUCUGAUUUCUGCAACAUUUCAAGUCAAUAAUUAAAAAAAAAAAAAAAAUUAUUCGUGCAUAAAGAAUAAAACUUCUCUGUGUAUCACUGCAGAUGGUCUCCCCUCAUUGGCCCCUGAAUAAACCGUCUUAAGUAAAGCUUAUACAGAUAGUUUUAGUUUUUAUCGUGUGGCGAUAACAGAGAAAACUCUCGGAUCUGCGGUGAAGUCC
Non-coding RNA from Xyrichtys novacula (pearly razorfish), 2191 nucleotides. The record is from the annotation of a GenBank genome assembly. NCBI's taxonomy places the organism in Eukaryota, Metazoa, Chordata, Actinopteri, Labriformes, Labridae.